ACGGAAGGCAGCAGUGGGGAAUAUUGGACAAUGGGGGAAACCCUGAUCCAGCGACGCCGCGUGAGUGAAGAAGUAUUUCGGUAUGUAAAGCUCUAUCAGCAGGGAAGAUAAUGACGGUACCUGACUAAGAAGCCCCGGCUAACUACGUGCCAGCAGCCGCGGUAAUACGUAGGGGGCAAGCGUUAUCCGGAUUUACUGGGUGUAAAGGGAGCGUAGGCGGCCAGACAAGUCAGAUGUGAAAACCCGGGGCUCAACUCCGGGACUGCAUUUGAAACUGCCAGGCUUGAGUGCAGGAGAGGCAAGUGGAAUUCCUAGUGUAGCGGUGAAAUGCGUAGAUAUUAGGAAGAACACCAGUGGCGAAGGCGACUUGCUGGACUGAGACUGACGCUGAGGCUCGAAAGCGUGGGGAGCAAACAGGAUUAGAUACCCUGGUA
Molecule: ribosomal RNA, 434 nt
Filed under: uncultured Clostridium sp.
Lineage: Bacteria; Bacillati; Bacillota; Clostridia; Eubacteriales; Clostridiaceae
Also listed under: 1 other name
Description: partial 16S ribosomal RNA
Rfam family: Bacterial small subunit ribosomal RNA
Source: RNAcentral